AUAAUAGUUUGGAAACUGGCUCAGAUUGAACGCUGGCUGCUAGGCCUAACACAUGCAAGUCGAGCGGUAGCAGGGAACAGCUUGCUUUUUCGCUGACGAGCGGCGGACGGGUGAGUAAUGUCUGGGAAACUGCCUGAUGGAGGGGGAUAACUACUGGAAACGGUAGCUAAUACCGCAUAACGUCUUCGGACCAAAGUGGGGGACCUUCGGGCCUCAUGCCAUCAGAUGUGCCCAGAUGGGAUUAGCUAGUAGGUGGGGUAACGGCUCACCUAGGCGACGAUCCCUAGCUGGUCUGAGAGGAUGACCAGCCACACUGGAACUGAGACACGGUCCAGACUCCUACGGGAGGCAGCAGUGGGGAAUAUUGCACAAUGGGCGCAAGCCUGAUGCAGCCAUGCCGCGUGUAUGAAGAAGGCCUUCGGGUUGUAAAGUACUUUCAGCGGGGAGGAAGGUGUUGUGGUUAAUAACCAGAGCAAUUGACGUUACCCGCAGAAGAAGCACCGGCUAACUCCGUGCCAGCAGCCGCGGUAAUACGGAGGGUGCAAGCGUUAAUCGGAAUUACUGGGCGUAAAGCGCACGCAGGCGGUCUGUCAAGUCGGAUGUGAAAUCCCCGGGCUCAACCUGGGAACUGCAUCCGAAAUCUGGCAGGCUUGAGUCUGAGAGGGGAUCCACCAUUUUUUUUU
RNAcentral lists this ribosomal RNA (683 nucleotides) under Trabulsiella guamensis. RNAcentral describes it as "bacterial SSU rRNA". It matches the Rfam family "Bacterial small subunit ribosomal RNA", at positions 1 to 674 of the family's 1533-position model. Lineage: Bacteria; Pseudomonadati; Pseudomonadota; Gammaproteobacteria; Enterobacterales; Enterobacteriaceae. The record is from RNAcentral.